RNAcentral lists this non-coding RNA (21 nucleotides) under Mus musculus (house mouse). The record is from RNAcentral. Lineage: Eukaryota; Metazoa; Chordata; Mammalia; Rodentia; Muridae.
UAGGACCUCGCUGCUAAUGCU